Molecule: RNA transcript, 1827 nt
Organism: Prunus persica (peach)
Lineage: Eukaryota; Viridiplantae; Streptophyta; Magnoliopsida; Rosales; Rosaceae
Gene name: cytochrome P450 82C4
Exons: 4
Source: RefSeq, a predicted model, not a curated record
CUUUCUCUAAUCAUGAAUCUUUCUUUUCCAUUAACUAUCAUCAGUGUGUUUGUUUCUCUAAUUUUUCUCCUUCGUGCAUUUGUUCGAAAAGCUGCUGUUGUAGGUUCCAAGUCUAGAGAGGCCCCUGAACCUGCUGGUGCAUGGCCAAUUAUAGGCCACCUCCACCUUCUAGGUGGCGGAGACCAGCUUCUCUACCGUACGCUUGGAGCAAUGGCUGACAAGUACGGCUCAGCUUUCAACAUCAGGCUAGGCAGCCGCCGUGCUUUUGUGGUGAGCAGCUGGGAAGUAGCAAAAGAGUGCUUCACAUUCAAUGACAAGGCACUUGCUUCUCGACCCACCACGGUGGCUGCCAAACACAUGGGCUACAACUAUGCCGUGUUUGGCUUCGCACCCUACAGCCCAUUUUGGCGUGAGAUGAGGAAGAUUGCAACCAUUGAGCUUCUCUCAAACCGUAGGCUUGAGAUGCUCAAACAUGUCAGGACAUCAGAACUUGACACCGGGAUAAAAGAGCUACAAAAUUUAUGGGUCCAAAAUGGAUCGUCACGUCCCGUGGUUGUUGAGCUCAAUCGUUGGCUAGAGGAAUUGACACUUAAUGUUGUGGUCAGGAUGGUGGCUGGGAAACGUUACUUUGGUGCCUCAGCAAAAUGUGACGAUGGCGAUGAGGCGAGGCGGUGUCAGAAGGCAAUUGGCCAGUUUUUUCAUCUGAUUGGGAUUUUUGUUGUUUCGGAUGCGCUGCCGUUUCUAUGGUGGUUGGAUUUGCAGGGGCAUGAGAAGGCAAUGAAGAAGACGGCUAAAGACUUGGAUGCCAUACUCGGAGGGUGGCUGGAUGAGCAUCGCCAAAGGAGAGUACUUUCUCAUGAAAAAGGGAAGACUGAAGCUGAUGAGGACUUCAUUGAUGUCAUGUUGUCUCUUCAGGAGGAAGGACAACUCUCAAAUUUUCAGCAUAGUUCAGAUACCAGCAUCAAGUCCACCUGCCUGGCGAUUAUCCUUGGUGGGAGUGACACCACAGCAGGCACUCUAACAUGGGCAAUCUCACUACUCUUGAACAAUCCCCAUGUGAUGAAGAAGGCACAAGAAGAGUUAGAGCUCCAAGUUGGAACAGAAAGGCAAGUUGACGAAUCAGACAUCAAAAACUUGGUAUAUCUUCAAGCCAUCAUCAAGGAAACGCUGCGUUUAUACCCAGCUGGGCCCCUCUUAGGACCAAGAGAAGCUCUAGAAGACUGCACCGUAGCCGGCUACCAUGUCCCGGCAGGCACCAGAUUGGUGGUAAACGUAUGGAAGAUUCAAAGGGACCCAAGUGUUUGGGAAAACCCAUCUGCUUUUGAACCAGAGAGGUUCUUGACAAGCCAUGGCCAUGUUGAUGUUAGAGGUCAACAGUUUGAGUUGAUGCCAUUUGGCUCUGGCAGAAGGUCGUGCCCUGGUGUCUCGUUUGCCAUGCAAGUCCUUCACCUCACGCUUGCUCGUCUGCUUCAUGCAUUUGAGUUUGAAACCCCGCUUGGUCAACGGAUUGACAUGACUGAGAGUCCAGGUUUGACCAUUCCGAAAGCGACUCCAUUAGAGGUUCUGCUCACCCCACGCCUUCCUGGUAAUCUCUAUCUGUGAUGAAGCGUUUGAAUAAAGUAUAAAAAUGUACUGUUUGUUGAUUAAUUUAGAGGUUCUUCAAAUGUACAAGUAUAUAUAAGCUAAGAUUGUGAGGCCCAUUUAUGUUAUGAGAGUUUGAUUAUAUGUGGAUCCAUCGGACAUUGCAGCCCAUAAGAUUCAAUCAGGAAAGAAAUGCACUAUAAUCUUCACCAAAAGGAAAAAGAAAUGGAUUAUAAUUGAGUCCAA